Oryzias sinensis (Chinese medaka) is the source of this 4268-nucleotide long non-coding RNA. The record is from Ensembl. Lineage: Eukaryota; Metazoa; Chordata; Actinopteri; Beloniformes; Adrianichthyidae.
CUAGUUUUACCUGGACAUUACCUGUGAACAUUUUAGUUUACAAGUAUUUAGUCGGAUUUAUCUGGCAGUGACCUCACACGGCUUUCCACCACGAGUCCGAGCCAUCAAUCAAAGCUACCUUCUGCAUUGUUAUCAGCCAUGAGGGACACCUUUUUGUCUGCAAUAGAGCAGCCAUUAAUGUCAAGCUGUUGUUUAUCUGUCAGGAAACGUUCACAGUCGAAACCUGUCAAAUCUCACAGUGUUUAUCGAGAACGGAACGAGUUGAAGGCACAGACGCGGAAGUGUCCCUGUGUGUGUGUGUUUGAGAGAGAGAGAGAGAGGGUAGAGCAGGCUGUGGAACAGGUGCAUGGCUGGGAGCUGUGCUGGUAGAAGGAGCAGUAGGGGCUAGGAAAGCCUGGAAGAAGUCGGACAUCAUGGCUGGUGGAGGGUUAGAGGUUUGAGUCCGGCGCAGCAGAGAAGAUGCUAAUGAGGAGCAGGAGGAAGGACUUGGCAGAGGGGCUGCUGGGAGAUAACACAUCAGCUUCAGUGCCCCUCCCCCACGUCGCCAUGGUGCCCACAGAUGGCCACUUCCUGUGGUCCUGCCCGGCGAUUGGCGGAAAAAACUUUCAAGCCGGGAGCAGCUGGGCGAGGGAUGAUGCAUCGCCCGGCGUUUGCACUUUCAUUUUCAGGGUUUCCAGCAUCUGGCAGGAAGUGGACACAAAAGGAGAGCGACCUGUUGUCCUGGAGACGAAAAGGCGCGCGGAGGGGAGCAGACAGGAAAUGAGGACGAUGUCCUCCAGAAGCUCCAUAAGGAGAGGGUGACCAAAAACAGAAUUUUGAGGAUCAAAACUACAUAACAGAAGCUUCUUAUUGUUAUUUUAGAGUUAAUAACCAUAAUAAAUUCUUUAAAUUACGCAUUCCACAAUUGUUUGUUUCACUUUUUGUUUAAUUUUGUGAUCAAUUUUUCCACUAAUGUAGAAGAUUUACAACACAGAUCUUCCUGCACAGGCAGAAAGUACACACUUUCAACACCAGAGGGAGCCAUUUCUCAAAUUUAAUAAACCAGAUGGAUGAAAAUAAAAAUGUAAAGGUUUCGGAAAGACACAAAAAAUAAAAAUAAAAUAAAAUAAAAGUGCCUGGUGUCACAGUGUUGGUGGAGAUGUAGAUAUUGAAAGAUUUCAAAAGUUUUGCGUACUAGCAAAAAGAAAAUUUCCCGGUUGGAGACGGUGAGUGACAACCAACACGGCAAUAAUUCACCACAUGAGGCAAAACAAACACACGUGUGUGAUUCAAACUGUACACGAAAGUGACAGAAAAAUAAACUUCCUGGUUGAAUGAACGUCAAAAUGAAAAGAAAAAAAAAAACUGCUGCUACCCUUUUUUUUUUUAAGAAGACAAAUAUUUAAUACGUUAGAGAAAAGUCAUGCAGCUGAAACCUUGUGCUCAAAAGCCUAAACUGAGUUACUGAGCCAAAAUGUUUGUUUGUUUUUUAGUGUGCAAAAAGUAGUGCGCAGGUUUUUUUGAGUUUAGCGUUCUCGUGCCCUGAAACGGAACCAAAAUUACGCGCUGUGAUUGUUUGCGCUUCGGGUUUGUUGCAUGCAAAGAAAGUCCGCCGGUAUCGCUAACUCCAGAGGCGACAAAUUGUUCUAAAUAAAAAAAAACUGAAAAAGUCUUCUAAAGAAGUGCUGCAGUUUGACCUCUUGAACUUUGACGAACCAGGCGUGUUCGUACCAAACGGCCACAGACGCUUCAUCAUGGCCCGAAACGCAGACUUGACAGCUCAGCGUCUUCCAGGACAUCAAUCAUGGCACGAUUGUCGUAAAAAGGAUGAAGGCUUUAGCGAUAAAAAACAAAACAAAAACACAUUUGUAGAAAAGAAGCUAAUGAACAAACGCAGGAGAGCCGUACAUCAUGCGUGUUGUACUUAGGUCAGUGAAAGCAGCACAAGGUACAAGGAGCUCGUAAAGCUCAGAGCUGCAAAAAAAAAAAAAAAAAAGUCUCAUGCUAGCUACCCGACCGGCAAUUUUGGUAACUUUUGUACAAUGCUACAUGGAAACCAUAAAAAAUAAACCUCAAAAGGCGGAGCAAAUGUAUUGGAUUUAUUUAAAAUAAGAGAGAAAAGAUCGAAUGGAAAUUCUGUUUCCUCAGAUCUUGUCCAUCCAAAGCCACCGUUUACCGAAACAAACAAAGGAUGUUGAAGUUUGGAUCCUUGCAGCAGUUAAAGCAUAAAGUUUGUUUGAACAAACCCCCAUUUCAAGCAGAAUUGAAAUAAAUGGAAAUUAACUAAUAAAAAAAAAACAUAUCUUUUUUUUUUUUGAAGGCUAAAGUUAGAGAGCCCCCUGUGGUAAAGUGGAGUUACUGCACACUGACAUUUCAAAAUAAAAGCCUACAAAUAAAAGACUUUUAAAAACAUUUGUUUCCGUUUUGCCUUCUUUUGAUUCGCUGUUUCCACUUUGGGGUUUCAACGUUUGAACAUUUUACAGCGAUUUUCGCAAUACCCUUCUGUAACUACCCCGGAGAAAUUUUGAUUCUUUUUGUUUGAUUUAACCAUUAAAAAAAUGCCCUAAAACAAAAGAGGAGUUUCCCUUCAAAAUAAAGCUGCUGUGCGUGUGUGUGGACAUUCUGCAGCUUCAGAACUGCUAAAAAUCACCAUAGAAACGCUGAUGUACAAACUUGCAUAGAUAAAGUUUCACAGAACAGUUUCUGAAACCCAAACACUGAACAUUCUUUAACGUGGACCGUUUUUUUGUUUUUGUUUUACGUCUUUCCAGCUAACAGAAAAAGAAAAAAACAGCCGUAAGCAUUAAAGCAAGUUUUCAAUCAAAGGGAGAGUGGCCUAUACUUUAGGAGUUGUUAUCAUGAUAAGGGCUCAGUUUGGCUGUGAUAAAUGUUGAUGGUGAUAAGAUUUUCAAAAUAAAAGGCAAGAAAUUUUUAAAUUUAUCACAAAAAAUCUUUUUAGAUUUGUUUUAGUGUUUAUAACUUGCAUGGAGAUUUAAAUAGUGACAUCAUAAAUCUUUUGGACAACAUUUUGAAAAGCUUGAAGAUGCUUUCCCUGGGUUUAAGUGUUUGACUGUUUGGGCUUUUCUGCAUUUAAGGCUUUUUGUUAUGAUGACUGAAUUGUCACCAUUUUUCCUUUUUUCUUUUUUUAACUUUAUUUUGAAAUUUUCCUCUCAGCAUUUGGACAGGAUUUCCAAAAAUCCCCUCAUGAAUUGAUGCUUUUUUUUUUUAGGUGGAAUGCCACUCAGUCCCUGCAUAAAGCAGUUAAAUGGAGCAAAGACGAACAAAACGAGUUGUUUUUUGCAUAAACGGAAAUAAAAAACUUUUUUUUUCUUUUUCUUUUGAGUGGCUUUCCCCGUUUUUGAGCGGAAAAACAAGUGACAACACUCGGAGCACAUGUCUAUUUAUAGCACGGGAUUAUAAAACAUUGACAUCAUCAAGAGGGCGUGCUGUACAUUGAACCGGUCCCGCCCCGACUAAGACACCAUGCUGUGUGUGUGUGUGUGUGUGUGUGUGUGUGUGUGUGUGUGGAGUUACACCAAACAUGCGUGGUGCAACUCUCCGCUGCUACCGCUGAACCCGCACAGCUACAGAAUUUAGUGUUGGCGGAAAAGCUUUGUCAUUUACGGCGGGUAAUCUUAGCGAUAGAAGCUCCUCCCCCUUUUCCCAGAGGCUCCCGUAUUGUCCACAUUUCAAAAGCCCCCCCCCCCCAGAAAUGCAGCGGCGCCGCUCGUGACGCCGUCAGGUGUCCGGCUUCAUCAGAGUCUCCUUUCCGCUCACCUUCUUUACAUCCGGAUUGUCUCUCAUGUCCUCCUCGUGCAGAGUGAAUGGAUCCCGAAAGCGGUGGGCGUGGCCUGAAAACGUGGAGGCCACUUAAAGCUGGAGGAGGAUGGGAACAGAGGGGGAAAAGAACCGGACAGAGGAAGAUGAGGAAGGAGAUGAUGAACAUGGCUCGUCCGUGGCGCGGCUGUAAACCCGUGAAGGCCGGCGCCGCUGCUUAGGUUGGCAGCGGGUCGUCGUCGCCUUUACUGCACUUGCACUUGCAGCAGAGGACGAUGGGCGUGGCCAGGAGGAGGAAGGGGGAGGCGACGAGCAGAAGGAGGCCGAAACCAGCGAAGAUACCCACAACCUGCAAAAGCACGUUAGGAAGAUUUUUACUGAAGUUUAACACUUUAACGUCUCUAUUUAAAAACACGAUGCGUGUUCUUUUGUGUCGGGGCGGUCCAACAAUGUCUUCCUAACAAACCACUUCUCCUGGAGAGCAACUUCACUUUUUGGGUUUCUCUGAAAAU